This 468-nucleotide ribosomal RNA is filed under the name uncultured bacterium. RNAcentral's name for it is "partial 16S ribosomal RNA". It matches the Rfam family "Bacterial small subunit ribosomal RNA", at positions 28 to 507 of the family's 1533-position model. The record is from RNAcentral.
GACGAACGCUGGCGGCGUGCUUAACACAUGCAAGUCGAACGGAAAGGCCCUGCUUUUGUGGGGUGCUCGAGUGGCGAACGGGUGAGUAACACGUGAGUAACCUGCCCUUGACUUUGGGAUAACUUCAGGAAACUGGGGCUAAUACCGGAUAGGAGCUCCUGCUGCAUGGUGGGGGUUGGAAAGUUUCGGCGGUUGGGGAUGGACUCGCGGCUUAUCAGCUUGUUGGUGGGGUAGUGGCUUACCAAGGCUUUGACGGGUAGCCGGCCUGAGAGGGUGACCGGCCACAUUGGGACUGAGAUACGCCCCAGACUCCUACGGGGGGCAGCAGUGGGGAAUAUUGCACAAUGGGCGGAAGCCUGAUGCAGCAACGCCGCGUGCGGGAUGACGGCCUUCGGGUUGUAAACCGCUUUCGCCUGUGACGAAGCGUGAGUGACGGUAAUGGGUAAAGAAGCACCGGCUAACUACGUG